This 497-nucleotide ribosomal RNA is filed under the name uncultured bacterium. RNAcentral describes it as "partial 16S ribosomal RNA". It matches the Rfam family "Bacterial small subunit ribosomal RNA", at positions 28 to 507 of the family's 1533-position model. The record is from RNAcentral.
GAUGAACGCUGGCGGCGUGCUUAAUACAUGCAAGUCGAGCGAACGGACGCGAAGCUUGCUUCUCUGACGUUAGCGGCGGACGGGUGAGUAACACGUGUAUAACCUACCUAUAAGACUGGGAUAACUUCGGGAAACCGUAGCUAAUACCGGAUAAUAUCCUGAACCGCAUGGUUGAAAAGUGAAAGACGGUCUUGCUGUCACUUAUAGAUGGAUCCGCGCUGCAUUAGCUAGUUGGUAAGGUAACGGCCUAUCACGGCAACUAUGCAUAGCCGACCUCAGAGAGGGAUCGGCCACACGGGAGCUGAAACGGGGACAUGACUACUACGAGAGGCAGCAGUAGGGAAUGUGCCGCAAUGGGCGGGAACAUGGCGGAGCGACGGGGCGUGAGUGGUGAAGAUCUUCGGAGCGUAAAACUCUGUUAUGAGGGGAGAACAUAUGUGUAAGGAACUGAGCACAGCUUGACGGUACCUAAUCAGAAAGCCACGGCUAACUACGUG